GCGGAAGACGCUUCGGCGUCUGCAUGUUCCGUUGUCCUGUCGGUUCCUGAUUUUGGCUCGGUUCUAGAUUUGGCUCAGUCCUUCUGCCUUGGCCUCUCUGCAUCAGUAGGACAGAUCCUUUUUGCCUGACUCGACAUGUUCCUGUCUUUGGCUGGCUCCUUUUGCACUGACCCGGUUUCCUGGAGGUUGAUCCUUAGCAACAGCUCUGCCUUGAUUCUUCCUGCCUGUGAGUGACCAUUUUCAUCACCAGUCUACUUUGUUUUCUGCCUAGAAAGAUUGCCAUUGGGGUGAUUCGCUCCCAAACUGUUAUUUAAACCCUGCAAGCUCAAAGUAAGCGCUGUUAUUAUUUAAAUUGCAAGACUGUGAUUAACUGCUUCAAGCCCUUAUUAGCUUAGUCAAGACGGUGCCAUUAACCCUUGUCAGCUGUCCUUCACUUGUUUGUUUUUCCCCCUGCAAGACUGCUUAUUCCUGUUAAAGACUGUGCUGUUAACCCUUGCUGUCUAUGUUGCCUGGCUUGCUUAUUUCUGCAUUACCCCAUAUUGACUGCAUAGUGAUCUACCUAAGUGGGGCCUUACAUCUUUGAUAGGCUCCUAAAUCCAGGACUGAAUACUUAUCCAAGUUUCCAAAGGUGCAUGAUUAUUUACCUCUGAGGGAAUCCGUGUUCUUUCAGCUGUUAACCCAUCCCUUCCUGUAAAGAGGUUCACCUUGUGAAGGAUCCAUUUCUCCAAGUAUCUGUGGGAAGAGGUCAUCAUUUAAGACCACAUAUCUCCAGUUGGAAUUACCUUCCCGCUACAGUUGUACUUUCCUGCAAGCUCAGAUCAGCUGAAAAACUAACCAAGAAUAAUGCAGUCAAAAGGUUGAAUUUGAUAGUCCUGAGUCUUUGUUCGGCCUCAGCUGAUGAGUUGUUAUGACAUUUUCAUGGAUAAACUGGACUAAACAAGUAUCUCUAGCUGCAUGUUAUCACUGCCCUGCAUAGAUACUCUUCCAAACGUUGGGCAUGAAUGACUGAUCAGAUCGGACAUCGCCUCCAAGCUCAUUAAGAAGAGAUCGAUAAGUCUGUUAAUGAUGAAUGGGGAGGUGGGAUUCAGAGAGGCGCGUGGGAGUGAGGAGCUGGGGUGGGAAAUUAGUUGGAGUUCGGUGCUUGUUGGACAGAAAGGAUUCUCACAGCUCCAUAGGAACAGUCUUCAUAAGUUCUCUCCCAGCCUCUAACCCAGUAUGAGUAAGACUGUGAUUCAGUGGAACUGACGUCACCCAACAAUGACCAUGCCUUGCCUGGAGAGACCCUAUACCUUCUAUCUGGCCAGAAGAAGAAAGCUGAUGAUGAUUGAGGCACAUGGAAAGGGAAACUUGACUUCCUGCUGUCCUGUGUCGCCUAUGCCAUUGGUCUGGGCAACGCGUGGCGCUUUCCUUACCUGUGUGGAAAGAAUGGAGGAGGUACAACCCAUGGAUUACAUAUCAAGAAAACAUUAUGUACCAUAUAAAAGUUACAGUGGGAUAAUAGUCUCUGGGAAGGGAGUGUGACUGUGGGAUAGCAGAUAUAGUAGGGAGAG
Molecule: long non-coding RNA, 1550 nt
Organism: Xenopus laevis (African clawed frog)
Lineage: Eukaryota; Metazoa; Chordata; Amphibia; Anura; Pipidae
Exons: 3
Source: RefSeq, a predicted model, not a curated record